This 902-nucleotide non-coding RNA is filed under the name unclassified sequences. RNAcentral describes it as "MISL RNA". It matches the Rfam family "MISL RNA". The record is from Rfam by way of RNAcentral.
GGAUAGCCCCAGGUAACUGGGGAAAGGUCGGGGCGGCUUGACGGCUCCGGCCCCCAAGUUGGAUCACAAGUCCAGCGUGGGCAUGUCUCACCGGAUCCCGCGGCCGGGGUCGCACCCGGAAAGCAUCGGGCGAGUUGAAAAGCCGAAAGGCGCAACGAGGUCGGUGUCCGUAGAAUGCGAAUAAGGGGUUCGAGAGGUUGGCGGCGAUAACUAAAGAAACCGCACGCUAGCCCAGUCACGUUGGAAGGCAGUUUCGGCCUUUUUGGCGAACACAGACGCUCCAAGAAAAGGGCGCUGGUUGCUGCUGUGAGAAACGUCAGGUGUUCAUGGUCAGCCUGAGUAUGGGAGUGUGAAAAAGCUCCUGGCUCCAAGGUUCCCCCUGAUGCGGGGGGAAAGCGAAAGGGGUUGGCAGGUGGAUAGGCGGGGUCGGGGGGUCGGGCCGGCGGGCUUGGCCGAUAGAAAACCCGGCUCCGGGUUUGGGAGGCGUACCCGGGAGGGGCGUCGCCCAACUACGAGGAAAAAGCAACCUGAGAGGUAAGAAGCUAGACCCGUGGCGGGGGGCCAACGCGGUGCCAAAAGCACCGGCUGUCCUCCCGAUCAUAGGCGGUGAUUCACAAAGAAACCUGUCACAGGGUAAUUCUCGUGGGUGAGUCAACGCCGUGUUUGGCGCGCCCGUGCCGGCAGGUACGGACCGAACCAAGCAAAGAGGCUUCACUCAAUAAACUGCGAUCAGGGAUGGUCGUGGCGGCCCUGCUAUGAGGCCGGAACUUCUCCCCCGCCGUGACGCGGGGGCGGUGAAUAGCGUCGGGGAACUGGCAGCCGAAUGAAGAAGUAGGAUCGGUCGAAAGGCAGGUCCAGGCGCCAAAUAGCCAGUCGAUGGGGAAGAGAGCGUGGCGAACUCC